AACAGCAUAUUUGGCCGAGAAAUACAAGGAAACGGGGUGUGAUCUCUUGAGGCACAAUGACCUCAAAGAAGCUGCAUUGGUGAAGGUGUGGUUGGAGGUUGAAUCCCAACAAUAUCAUCCGGCAAUAUACCAGAUUGUGUACCAGUUCUUCGUGUUGCCUCUACAAGGCAAGACGGCCGAUCAGGCCAUUAUUGAUGUAAAUCUGGAGAAGUUGGGUAAGGUUCUGGAUGUGUAUGAGGCCAGGCUGGGCACCACAAAGUGCCUAGCAGGAGAUUUCUACAGCUUGGCUGAUCUUCACCACCUUUCUUACACUUACUAUUUCAUGAAGACGCCAUGGGCUUCCCUCAUAAACAGCCGUCCCAAUGUGAAGGCAUGGUGGGAGGACAUUUCCUCAAGGCCAGCUUUCAAGAAAGUGGCUGAAGGCAUGACUUUUGGUGAGAAGUGAUCGGUUUCUGAGCAGUGUGGCUCUAUGUUUUGGGGUAAUAUUAAUUGUAGUGGUUGCUGCCUCUUAAUUACGUGUAUUUAAGUGUGAGACCACGUAAUAAUUACUGAUUAUGUGUUAUGAUUUGCCCUAAAUUAAUCAGAAAUGUGGAAUUAUCUGGGGUUUCUCAUUGUGGUAAUUAAUCUGCUUGCAACCAGUUUUUGAAAGGGUUUGAUGCAUUUUUACUCCAUACUUUGCUUUAGCUAGGGUUAUGUUGGUGUCUCUAAGGCAUAAUGCUUCCAUUUUUGAGUCAUUGCAUACUCAGAUCAAAGUUUUCAAGACUUGUAGAAAAUGGGUUUUGGUAUUUUCAUGAAAGAGAAUGAAAGGGCAAAUUUCUUCACAAGGCAUGUAGUAAGGGUUUUCCCUUUCAAUCAGUCUUUUUCCUGAGAAACAAACAGAAUGUAUAUCAUGCCGUGUCAUCCACUGUGACAGUUUUCCUCUGAAGAGUUUUACUGCAGUACUUCCUAUUUAUUCCCAUUUUUACUUCCCAAACGAGGUAAACACGUACUGUACUGCAGCUCUGGUUAUUUUCAUCAUCCUUGCUUGUCCAAAGCAGCUUCACUCUUUGAACCUAUUUUUAUUGUUAUAUAUAUAUAUAUAUUAGGUCAAAUUAAUCUUCCAAUUUUCUAACUCUAAGCCCUUGCAAAGAGUUUUUGUAGUAUCAUAUGUAUCUACUAUCAGUCAAGCAGAAACUGGAUAAUGUUCUAUAUACGCUUCAAUAAUUAUGGAUCCAGCAAAGGAGAUCUUUUGUUAUGCUACGGGUCUCUACUAAAAUCUGAGGCUGGAACCCACUUCAAUUAUUCACUCAUUUUGUUCUCAUAGAACCUUCAGCCAUGUGACCCUCACCCUCCAACUAACUUUCAACCACAUCUACCACCUUUCUUUCCUUUUUAUUUUUAUUUUUUAGUUUUGACCUAAUUCCAUCUAACUCUCAAAAUGUAUUCUAAAUCAUGCAUCACAGUCUCAAAAUAUAUGUAGGCCCUUCUCUCUAGAUUCUUGAUUCUAUAGUCUUGUACAACCCAAAUUUCUUAGACUCUAGUCUGAAUAAGCUUGAUAGACAUGAUUGUGCUUAUUAUUUAAUAAUUUAAGUUUUUCUUAUAGUAAUUAAUAGUUUAAUAUGAUAUAAUAAAAUUUCUUAUCUUAAUUAAUUUGUAAAAUUAUCUAGAUGAGAUAAAUAGAUAGUCCUAAUUUUUAACUCCAAAAAUUGAUUUUUUUUCUCAAUUAUAAAUUUUCUUAAUCCAAUGCGAGAUUCAAAUAUCAAAAUAAUAGCUAGUUUCAUAAGACACUUGAUGUAUGUGGAAAACCAUCAACAAUCAUGGGUUUGCAAAACAAAGUAAUUACUAAAUCUAAAAGAAUAAGUACACAAUUUUUAUCAAAAUUUGAUACUAUCUUCUCCCAAGGGUCUUAUGUUGGCACAUAUUUACACUUGUUUUCAUGUUUGAGAUGCAACACCUUAUACCCUUUAGGAAACUCCUCAACUACUUGAUAACAUAUAAUCAACCAUUAUGAUUUGAUCUCAAAUAAGAGUUAAGCGAUUGAAAAUGUAUGUGUAGUGAGUUUGAAAUGAGAAUGAUAGAGAAAUUGAACUUUUUCAUUAGACUUUAAAUGAAGCCAUUAAGGAAGAGAUCCACUCCCAAGAUUAAUUCAAGAUGGGGAUAUAAAAAUGGUAUCUUACCAUAAUGACGUCAUCCAUCAAACUUUAUAUGAAGAAGAUAAAUCCAUUGGUUGAACUCUUUAUAGAGGAAUAAUUGACUCUUUAUCAUUAAACAAUAUAUGUUUGUUUUCAACUUGCAAAGAAUCUUAUUCUAGUGCUAUUAAAAAAAUUCUUAAAUAUUUAAAAAGAAUAAUUAAACUAUGUUUGUGAUAUCAUGCAUACUAACUUUGAUCUAAUUAACUAAUUAAAAGUGGAUUUUCCGUUUGUAAAAGUAAUGGAAAUGUAUUAGUGGUACUUAUAAUGUUUGUUUUCAAUCUUACAAAGAAUCUUAUUUUAGUGCUAUUAAAAAUAUUCUUAAAUAUUUAAAAAGAAUAAUUAAACCACGUUUGUGGUAUCAUGCAUACUAACUUUGAUCUAAUUAACUAAUUAAAAAUGGGUUGUUCCAUUUGUAAAAGUAAUGGAAACGUAUUAGUGGUACUUCUAACUUUCUAGGCCACUCACUAGGUUUUGACAUAGUGAUCGAACCUUUGAUCAAUUGAGUUGUCGUGUGCGAUAUAUUUCAUAAUGACUAAUUGAUGCAUGGUGGUUUAGACUUAGUCUUAAUUGGUUGAGGACUUGUUGAUCAGAUGUUAAUCGAUUAAGGUUCUUGCACCUUAAUGAUUACCUCCAAGUGUACUUUUAUUUAAUAGCAUGUUUCUUAGUCCAUCGCCUAAUCCACUAAUUCAGCUAAAAAUGUGCCUAAGGGCUAGUUUCACUCUAGAACUCUUAUUUAAAACUUUCCAACCUUGAGCAAUCAUUGUAGCAAUUUAUUGAAUGGUUCUCUAGAAUACUCUUAUUCCCAAACUCGCAAGUCUCAUUUAGUCUACCUUAAUCUUAGUUUAUUUAUAUAUUUGAUCCUGAAUUUUGCAAACUAGAAAGCUUACUUUAAGAAAUUCACUCUUGUAUUCAUGAAAGAGUAUACUGAAAUGUAAGGGAUCACUUGAGGGCAUUGCAAAGGCAUAUUGGAAGCUUAAAUAUAAGUGUAAAAAAAUUAAAAGCAAAAUCUUAGCACUAGUGAAUGGACCUCAAGCUUAGAUUGAUGAAAGAGAGAGUGGAUAUAGGAGUUAUAGAACCAUUAUAAGUACUUUAUUGCAUCACUCUAUCCCUAUCUCUAUUAAUUUACUUGCACUAUAUUAAUUUUUAUAAUUUGCUUUUUAAUUUUCUAAAUUUUGCAAAAGAACUAACACCGAAUUCUCCUCCCCUCUUGGGUGUCUUCCUCAAGUGAACUCAACUAAUUUGCUUUUCAAUUUUCUAAAAUCAUGAAUCAAUGUAUCAUAAAGCAAAUCCACUAAUUUAAAAAGAAUUAAUACACGGUUUUACCUUAACCAUAUGUUAUCUUCCCCUAAUAAUCUUACACCAAUCAACACAUCCAUUUGUUUUCACGUUUGCAAUGCAAUAUAUGCUCCUUAGUAAACUCCUUAGCAAUUUGAGAUAAUACAAUCAACCAUCAUAAUUUAUCCUUUAAUUAAAGUUAAGUUUUCAGGAAUAUUGGAAACACACAUGAGAAUAACGACAAUUAUUUUCGAGAGCAUGUUGUUUUUUCAAUAUAAGGAGAAAAUCUUACUAAGUCUAUCCAAAUACAUUAAUUGAAAAAAAUAUAGAAUUAGAAAAUCAUGAAAAAAAAAAAACAAAUGGGUCCAAGGUAAACCGAUGUACUCCAUUUUGUCAUGAAUAUUCACUAAAAAUUACUCAACCGUACACAAGCUUGACACACAACAUUUCCCCACUACGUAAUAGCCAUUAAAUCAAAUGAAAAAUAAAAUCUCCAACGUUAAAUUAAGUUGACACCGUGUGCAUCCCUGGUUUCAUAAUGCAGAGUGAGAUGAAACAGAAUCGAUGCACAAGUACUGGGAAAUAAAAUUACCCAUCACGAGUCUAGAAAAUGGGUUCUGAUAUUUUCACAUAAGACAAUGUUGGAGGAUUCUAGGAAAAGAAAGAGAAUGCGGGAAAGGGAAAAUUCUUCACAUGCCUACAGCAUUUACGGCAUAAAGAACGUUUUCUUUCUCAAAGCAUGUGAUCUUUUUCCUGAGAACCAAACAGAUGGCAAAAGCAAGUUCCUGCUUGUCCAAAAAAACCCUGUACUCAUUGGACUAACAAAGCCUGAAUUAAAUAUGGGCCAUUUCGUACCUUCACCAUGGCCCAUUUCUUGUGAUGUUCUUUUGAAUAAAUUUAAGAAAUUACUGUUAGAAAUCAAAUAGAUUGAAUAAAUAUUUUAAUUUAUAAAAAAAUCAUCUUAAAUAAAUAACAAAUAAUAAAUAGGAGAAGGAAAAGAGAAAGUACGUAUAUUUGCAAUGUUACAUUACCUCACCUUAUCGUUUUCCAAAACUUAUAGUAAGCAAGAAUUGGAUUUACUUCUGCCUUCUAUUCUUCAUCAAUACAAUAUGAACGGUAGAGAAGUCCCUUGUUCUAAAGGAGCCGGGCAAGUCGAUUGAAACAAGCGAAUCGAGGUGGCCUGCAACUACCCUAAACAACACUGCAUAAGAAGCCAACAAACUAGUAUAUAACGCCCACCAUACCCUCUUCAUUUUCAGUACCACCUCACCAUCCUCCAUUCAUAUCGCCCAUUUUCACCCACCUCUUUCUCUCUCUCUCUCUCUCUCUCACUCUCUCAGUUUCUCAGUCUUUCAAUGGCGCUCAAGCUCCAUGGAAUUCCCAUGUCCACUUGCACCACUCGUGUCCUCACCUGUCUCCAUGAGAAAGGCUUGGAUUUUGAGCUUGUCCCUGUUAAUCUCUUUGCAGGUGAACAUAAGCAGCCUCCUUUUCUUGCCAAGAAUGUGAGUCUCACUUUCUUCUUUCUUUCUAAUCAUCUCUCUUUCUUCUCUCUGUAGAUUUUGCUUUCUUUGGGGUUGUAUAAAUUAUGAUUUUCCUUGGUUUGGGUACAUUGUUUUUAAUGUACAGUCUCGUCGAUUUGAUUUUGGUCUUGGUUUUGUUAUACAUAUAUGCAGCCCUUUGGACAGAUUCCAGUUCUGGAAGAUGGCGAUUUCACUCUUUUUGGUAAGUUCACGGUUUUAAUCACUUUCCUCAUAAGAGCUUGAAAUUUUUUGUACUGUACUACCAUCAGGACCGACAGUUCCUGAGUUUUAUCACCUGGUUGCUUUUCAACAAAAAUUUUCUUUCAAAAAUUUAAAGAGUUUUUCUAACAAAAUCAUGCUAUGUAGUACAUCAUAUCGAGCUCAUAUAUUAUUAUUUUGAUCAAUUUUAGACCAAUCAUUUUUCUGGAUAAUUUUCGUAGUUUUUUUAUUUCGCUUUCAUGUUAGUCAUGUUAGUCCAGGUUUACUGUAAAUCCCCGGUUGAUUUAGUUGGGUUAUUGAAAAAUUAUGUUUAUGUACCAGAAUCUAGAGCAAUAACAGCAUAUUUGGCCGAGAAAUACAAGGAAACGGGGUGUGAUCUCUUGAGGCACAAUGACCUCAAAGAAGCUGCAUUGGUGAAGGUAUGGUUGGAGGUUGAAUCCCAACACUACUAUCCUGCAAUAUACCAGAUUGUGUACCAGUUCUUCGCGUUGCCUCUACAAGGCAAGACGGCCGAUCAGGCCAUUAUUGAUGUAAAUCUGGAGAAGUUGGGUAAGGUUCUGGAUGUGUAUGAGGCCAGGCUGGGCACCACAAAGUGCCUAGCAGGAGAUUUCUACAGCUUGGCUGAUCUUCACCACCUUUCUUACACUUACUACUUCAUGAAGACGCCAUGGGCUUCCCUCAUAAACAGCCGUCCCAAUGUGAAGGCAUGGUGGGACGACAUUUCCUCAAGGCCAGCUUUCAAGAAAGUGGCUGAGGGCAUGACUUUUGGUGAGAAGUGAUCGGUUU
RNAcentral lists this long non-coding RNA (5971 nucleotides) under Vitis vinifera (wine grape). Its description in RNAcentral is "long non-coding RNA (VVIN_LNC002041)". The record is from RNAcentral. Lineage: Eukaryota; Viridiplantae; Streptophyta; Magnoliopsida; Vitales; Vitaceae.